RNAcentral lists this ribosomal RNA (620 nucleotides) under uncultured Pelagibacterales bacterium. Its description in RNAcentral is "bacterial SSU rRNA". It matches the Rfam family "Bacterial small subunit ribosomal RNA", at positions 41 to 705 of the family's 1533-position model. The record is from RNAcentral. Lineage: Bacteria; Pseudomonadati; Pseudomonadota; Alphaproteobacteria; Candidatus Pelagibacterales.
GGCACGCCUUAUACAUGCAAGUCGAACGAAGUAGUCAAUACUUAGUGGCAGACGGGUGAGUAACAUGUGGGUAUCUUCCCUUUGGUGAGGAAUAACACGAGGAAACUUGCGCUAAUACCUCAUAAGUCUUUACGGAGAAAGCUUUAUGCGCCGAAGGAUGAGCCCGCACUUGAUUAGCUUGUUGGUGGGGUAAUGGCCUACCAAGACUUUGAUCAAUAGCUGAUCUGAGAGGAUGAUCAGCCACAUUGGGACUGAGACACGGCCCAAACUCCUACGGGAGGCAGCAGUAGGGAAUAUUGCACAAUGGAGGAAACUCUGAUGCAGCGAUGCCGCGUGAGUGAAGAAGGCCUUUGGGUUGUAAAGCUCUUUCGUCGGGGAAGAAAAUGACUGUACCCGAAUAAGAAGGUCCGGCUAACUUCGUGCCAGCAGCCGCGGUAAUACGAAGGGACCUAGCGUAGUUCGGAAUUACUGGGCUUAAAGAGUUUCGUAGGUGGUUAAAAUAGUUGGUUGUGAGAUCCCGGAGCUUAACUCCGGAACUGCAAUCAAACUUUUUAGCUAGAGUAUGAUAGAGGAAAGCAGAAUUUCUAGUGUAGAGGUGAAAUUCGUAGAUAUUAGAAAGA